This is a long non-coding RNA of Rosa rugosa (rugosa rose), 4177 nucleotides long. RefSeq lists it as uncharacterized. The transcript has 8 exons. Lineage: Eukaryota; Viridiplantae; Streptophyta; Magnoliopsida; Rosales; Rosaceae. The record is from RefSeq and is a predicted model, not a curated record.
AUUACUGUUCUGGUAAAAUAUCAAGCUGAUGUAAAAGUCGUUUUUCUUCUUGCUAUUGUCGGCUGAUAUGUGAAGUUGUUCUUUUCACGUAAGUGUGAGAUUUGGGACCGAGUCAGAAGCGGUUCUCUUUAGUUUUGGUAUUGGCAGCAUAAGUGUGAGUCUCACACACUGUGAGAUUUGGGAUUGAGUCAGUUGGAUUGAAAUCGAAAAGACAGAGCUUUCUGGGUUAUUUUUGCAGGACGAAAGAGGGGACAGAGCGGGAAUAGAGACGGUGAGAUCUGUGUUGCUUUGAAAAAAUUUGAUACUUUAGUUUUGGUUUCGUUUCGCUAAUAUGAUUGAUUGAGUAAGGAAAACGAUUUCUAAAGUGUAUGGGAAAAUUUGAUUUUGUAAAACAACUAGAAUAUCUCAUAGGCUAUGUAUCUGUUAUUUCAGUUGAAUAAGUCUUCAAUCGGAAAUAGUGAUUUCUAUUUGAUUCAUCAGUUGAAAUAUAUACAUUGAAAAAAUGGUUUCUGUUCAGUUUAUCAAUUCAGGUUUCAUAUACCUAAUCUGCAGAACAACUAGAACAAAAGUAACAAUAAAAGAUUUUUGUUCUUAUGGAUUUCAAUUGAUUGAAUUCGCAGGUCGUGUGUUAUCAACAAUAUCAUUCCGUUAAUAUUGUCUUCCAAUUCAAAGAAGUUGCCCGUUUUUUGUUUUUUUCCCCUUUUCUGUCUUUAAUGAUUCAUAGUCUUUUUAAUCGAAGAUAUUGAUUGUGAUGAAACUAAAGAAAUUGGUCAGUGCUGGUAGAUUCAGAACACACAAAGAGAGACUACACUAAGCAGUAAACAAACAAGGAACCCAGACAUAGUAAUCAAGCUAAUGACUGCUGGUUUCACUAAUGUUGCAAUUUCACAUUCUGACUUAGUGGUCACUUACAUUUAAAUGUAUUCUGUUAAGUCUUGAUAAUAAAUAAUUUCAUAUACAGUGUUCAGCUAUCCUGCUUUUUAGUUAAAGUAACUUAAACAAUUGCGUAUACAGUGCUCAGCUAUCCUACUUUUUAGUUAAAUGCAAAACAAACAAAAUUCUACUCCCAUCAAUAUUCUUAUGACUGCCAUUUUCAUGUUUGAUGCCAACAUUGAUGCACAUUUAUCAUUUAUUGCUAUCCUGCUACAACCAAAAAGUACAUUUGCUCGGUUGUCAGAUGAUUGGCAAUAUUUGUCUCUAUCAAAUUAAGACAUGCUAGUCAUUCCUUGAUGUUAUUCAUAUACAUGCACCAUAUUGGCUCAAUACUUGGGUAAACAUCAGAUACUUCCUAUUGUCUUUAGAUCCUUUGAAGCUGCUGGUGCUCUUGAGAAGUUUGUACAGAGUGAUUAUGGUGAAGAUAUAAGGUUUUGUUAGAAUAAAGGUGCGUAAACUUCCUUAAAAGGUGGGUGUACCCGGGAGUGCGAGGUUCUGUUUUUUAGAAUAGGUCAUUUGUAUGUCCUAAAGGGCGGCUCUUUCUGUCGGCCCUUCAGGGGGGUAUCAGUAGAUGGAAUGAAGAACAAGUGAAGGAUGGUGACCUUUUAGCGUCCAAAGAAAGCAAUCUGAGCUGCGUUUCUUCAGCCCGGCAACUCUAGCUACCGGUAUGUUGGAAUUUGGUAUUCUAAGUCUAAUAUAUCUGAACAAACAGUUGUAUGGGUUGCAAACAGGAACAAUCCCAUCAGUGAUACCUCUGGUGUCCUCACAAUAAGCAGGUAUGGACUAUGGAGGACUAGUGCUCUAUGCUCAUAACAUGGAGAGUAUUCCUAUGUGGUACACAAAUGUGUCGCAGUUGGUCCAAAACUCAAGCACUUUAUCUGCGCAGCUUUUAGAUACAGGAAAUUUAGUUCUGUUCCAGGAUGAUAAAACUAGGAUAUUUAUAGGGAAAAGUUUUGAUUAUCUUACAGAUACUCUAAUCCCAGGUAUGAAAGUGGGGAUAAUUGGGAAACUGGGCUAGAAUGGAUUAUAACAUCUUGGAAGUCACAAGAUGACCCUGAAGCCGGGGACUAUACCGAUAGGCUAUAUUCAAAUCAAACUGCAAUCCCUGAAUUUUUUAUAUACAAAGGUACAUGCCGGUAUUGGAGAAGUGAUUAUUCCGGGAUUAAUUUUGUCAGUAACCAGUACAAUACUAAUAUGUGGUAUGGACAGUGUGGUGCCAACAGUUAAUGCAGCCCUGACAAUACCAAGAUGGUCGAGUAUGAUUUACCAGGAUAUGAACUGAAGUCUUUAAAUGAUUGGAAUCAGAGAAAUGGGUCAGAUGGAUGUGUGAGUAAGUGAGUUGAAGUGUCAAAGUGUGGGAAUGAAGAAGGGUUUGUGCAGAUGUAAAAGUCAAGGAGCCCGACACAUCGAAAGCUGCAAGGUUGGAAAGAAUUAUGAGUGCCAAAAAGUGCAAGCAGCAGUGCUUAAGAAAUUGUUCUUGCACAGCAUAUAUGAGCAUGGACAUUGAAGGGCGCAUUGAUUGCUUGACAUGGUAUGGUGAGUUGCUGGACAUCACAGAGCACACUGCAGUGGGACGAGAUCUUUAUGUUCAUGUAGAUCAUAUGGAGUCAGCUGAGAAUGCCAGAAAAUCAAAAGGCUUCUUUGGAAGGAGGGUGAUGCUGACUGUUCCAAUAUUGUCUGUUCUUCUGCCAUUGGUACUGGUCAUUGGCUUAAGAGGAAAACAGAAGAGGCCGAUGAACUUGAGGAAACGAGGAGACACCCAGAAUUACAGUUUUUCGAUCUGAACACACUAAUAGAUGCCACGGAAAACUUCUCUCCAGUCAAUGAACUUUUUUGGCUCAGUCUAUAAGGGUUAGUUACCAGACAACAAGAAGAUUGCUGUAAAAAGAUUGUCCAAAAAUUCAGGACAAGGGAUUGAACAAUUCAAAAAUGAAUAGCUAGACUUCAACACAGGAAUCUUGUGAAACUGUUGGGAUGUUGUAUAAAGGAGAAGAAAGGAUGUUAAUCCUGGAAUACAUGCCAAACAAUAGCUUGGACUCCUUUCUUUUUGGUAUCACUCUAGCAAAUUUACAUUUGUAUAUGCCUUGUCCAAAGACAUGAGGAAAUGAAGCUACGACCAUUAAACAUGUACCACAUUUAUUGACAUAAAACCCAAAUCUCUUGAUAUAAAUCGUAGAAGAAGCACAUCCUUAGAUUGGAACAAGCGCCUUGAAACUAUCAAUGGGAUUGCUCACGGACUCCUUUAUCUUCAGUUCUUCACCAAGACUCGAGACUGUGGAUUAUCCAAAGAGAUCUGAAAACUAGCAAUGUUCUUCUAGAUGCUGAAAUGAACCCAAAAAUUUCAUAUUUUGGCAUGGCAAGAAUAUUCCAUGGCGACCAACUCCUGGAGAAGACAGAGAAUUGUUGGAACAUAGGAAGUCGACUAAAACUUGCACACUCAUACUACUUGACUAAAUCACCUUUCAUAUUCAUUCGACAAUGCAUUUUGAUUGUAACAUUGUGUUUUCUUCAUAUGCAGUGGUUAUAUGUCACCAGAGUAUGUUGUAUUUGAAAUUUUUUUCACAAAAUUCGAUGUCUUUAGUUUUGGGAUCAUACAAUUGGAGAUUCUAAGUGGCAAGAAAAGUAGCGGUCUGCAAGAGGAUCAUUCCAUGAACUUGAUAGGAUAUAUGUCUGGCAGCUGUGGAGAGAAGACAGAGCCUUAGAAAUGUUGGACUCAUCACUAGAGUCAUAUCAGCCUAAUGAAGUGUUAAGAUGUAUUCAAGUUGGGUUGCUGGGUGUAGAAGAUUCAAAUGACCGACCAACCAUGUAAGCUGUUUUUUUCAAGUUAAGUGGUGACGCAUCUCCACCAUCUCCUCAACAACCAGCAUUCGUCUUCAAAAAUCUUUCUAGCCAUGAUGCCGAUCCAUUGAUUCCAAAAGGAUUAUAUUCUGUGAAUAGCUUGACAAUUAGUAAAGAGGAAGAUCCUAUGUGAACUUCUGGAACCUCAUUGCGCGUGCGCAUGGAAAGCUGUUUGUGUGAAGCCUGCCGACAUUGUUGGUUACAUGAAUAUUGCAGAGUUUCUCUGUUUAAUUGUUUGUUUUUGUCAAACAGAAAACAAUAGGGAUCAAUAUCAUCGAUCUAAAUACAAUGUCUUAUUAUUAGUAGAUGGCAAAUUUGCAGACAUAUACACCUUUUUUGACACCAUUGUUGUUAUGACUUUAAUAUUUUAUAAAGAAUGUCCUGCUUAUUUGGUGGUUUACCAUGA